ACGUAGGUGGCAAGCGUUGUCCGGAUUUACUGGGCGUAAAGGGCGUGCAGGCGGUUUGUUAAGUCUAGGGUGAAAGCUCCCGGCUCAACUGGGAGAGGUCCUUGGAUACUGGCAGACUUGAGGAGGGUAGAGGAGAGUGGAAUUCCCGGUGUAGUGGUGAUAUGCGUAGAUAUCGGGAGGAACACCAGUGGCGAAGGCGACUACCUGGACCAGCACUGACACUGAGGCACGAAAGCGUGGGGAGCAAACAGGA
RNAcentral lists this ribosomal RNA (253 nucleotides) under uncultured prokaryote. Its description in RNAcentral is "partial 16S ribosomal RNA". It matches the Rfam family "Bacterial small subunit ribosomal RNA", at positions 525 to 777 of the family's 1533-position model. The record is from RNAcentral.